Molecule: long non-coding RNA, 846 nt
Filed under: Chinchilla lanigera (long-tailed chinchilla)
Lineage: Eukaryota; Metazoa; Chordata; Mammalia; Rodentia; Chinchillidae
Description: lncRNA (ENSCLAG00000022272.1)
Source: RNAcentral
UUCCAACACAUGGAGAAUAUCACCUGAUCAUAAAGCUGAGCUAAGAAGCAGGGGUCACUCAGAUAGGAGGUUUAAGGUAAUUAUUUAAUCCCCAUGAUAACCCUAGAUACUAUUUUCAUUUCCUUUUACAGAUGGACAACAGGAUUAGAAAGUUAACUUGUCCAAGCUCAGACUGCCAGUCACGGGAAGAGCAGAAAUUAAAAAUCUAUGAAGUCCAACUAAAUUUAAGUCAAAUGACUACUGCUGAUCACCUUUGCCUUUCUGUCUAUACUGCUUGAUACCUUCUGAUUCUAUUUAGAUUGGCUAUCCUGAGAGAUAUCAUUGUUAACCAAACAACUCUCUCUAGCCAUAACUAAGCUGUCAUUUUGCAAAUGACCUUGAGAAAUGGAAGCAGAGAGGAUUACUUGAUUCACCUGCAACUCUAUGCCAAGCCACAACAGCUGAAUGAUUCAACUGGAAAGGGAGAGAUGGUUUAAAGUCAUGAUUAAUGCUACCAUGUCCCUGGCUGCCUUACUUCCUCAGCUCAUCACUGGCCUCAAAGAUUAACUUCUUUUAAUUAGUUCAGGAAUUUAUUGAAGAGUAACUGAAGAGAACAUUUGGUAAUGGCAUUCAAGGUAGAACAAGAAAUGGGAACUUUGUUUCAGAGUCAGCUUAUCCCUGGCUCCAUGUGGGUAACACAGAGGUGUCCUGAGGACACAAGUUCUUUCUUCAGACUUCCAGCUCCAUGGAUCCCAUUGCUCACUUAUGUAGUGCCCACCAUUGUCCUUAUUUCGGUUCCAUGACCUGACCAUACCAUGUUCAUUCUACUGUGAUGCUUCCAUGCAUACUGGAUUCACAUCUCUACUG